RNAcentral lists this ribosomal RNA (498 nucleotides) under uncultured bacterium. RNAcentral describes it as "partial 16S ribosomal RNA". It matches the Rfam family "Bacterial small subunit ribosomal RNA", at positions 30 to 523 of the family's 1533-position model. The record is from RNAcentral.
AUUGAACGCUGGCGGCAUGCCUUACACAUGCAAGUCGAACGGUAACAGGUCUUCGGAUGCUGACGAGUGGCGAACGGGUGAGUAAUACAUCGGAGCGUGCCUAGUAGUGGGGGGUAACUACUCGAAAGAGUGGCUAAUACCGCAUGAGAUCUACGGAUGAAAGCAGGGGAUCGCAAGACCUUGUGCUACUAGAGCGGCCGAUGGCAGAUUAGGUAGUUGGUGGGAUAAAAGCUUACCAAGCCGACGAUCUGUAGCUGGUCUGAGAGGACGAUCAGCCACACUGGGACUGAGACACGGCCCAGACUCCUACGGGAGGCAGCAGUGGGGAAUUUUGGACAAUGGGCGCAAGCCUGAUCCAGCAAUGCCGCGUGCAGGAUGAAGGCCUUCGGGUUGUAAACUGCUUUUGUACGGAACGAAAAGCCCUGGGUUAAUACCCUGGGGUCAUGACGGUACCGUAAGAAUAAGCACCGGCUAACUACGUGCCAGCCGCCGCCGUAA